RNAcentral lists this long non-coding RNA (232 nucleotides) under Gossypium barbadense (sea-island cotton). RNAcentral's name for it is "long non-coding RNA (GBAR_LNC022456)". Lineage: Eukaryota; Viridiplantae; Streptophyta; Magnoliopsida; Malvales; Malvaceae. The record is from RNAcentral.
CAAGUUCUAGAAUAACAAACCAAGUUGACCUACUCUCAACCAAAAAUAAAAUGAUCACGAACUAAAAUAUAUGCUCUGUAGGCUUAAAAUCUCACAAAAAGUUAUGGUGUCGAUGUCAAACUUACAAUUUUAAAAUUUCAAGAUAAUACUUCAAUUCAAGGAGACAACCUAAAAUAUUUAUUUCUGAAAAAAAACUUAUCAUGCUUGACUCUCUAGUGUCUUAAAAUAUAAA